RNAcentral lists this unclassified non-coding RNA (329 nucleotides) under soil metagenome. RNAcentral describes it as "partial contains 5.8S ribosomal RNA, internal transcribed spacer 2, and large subunit ribosomal RNA". The stretch from base 1 to 120 matches the Rfam family "5.8S ribosomal RNA", at positions 35 to 154 of the family's 154-position model. The record is from RNAcentral.
GAUGAAGAACGUAGCGAAAUGCGAUAAGUAAUGUGAAUUGCAGAAUUCAGUGAAUCAUCGAAUCUUUGAACGCACAUUGCGCCCUCUGGUAUUCCGGGGGGCAUGCCUGUUCGAGCGUCAUUAUAACCACUCAAGCUCUCGCUUGGUAUUGGGGUUCGCGGUUCCGCGGCCCCUAAAAUCAGUGGCGGUGCCCGUCGGCUCUACGCGUAGUAAUACCCCUCGCGAUUGAGUCCGGUAGGUCUACUUGCCAGCAACCCCCAAUUUUUACAGGUUGACCUCGGAUCAGGUAGGGAUACCCGCUGAACUUAAGCAUAUCAAUAAGCGGAGGA